Molecule: transfer RNA, 71 nt
Filed under: Stegodyphus mimosarum
Lineage: Eukaryota; Metazoa; Arthropoda; Arachnida; Araneae; Eresidae
Rfam family: tRNA
About the family: Transfer RNA (tRNA) molecules are approximately 80 nucleotides in length. Their secondary structure includes four short double-helical elements and three loops (D, anti-codon, and T loops).
Source: Rfam by way of RNAcentral
GACUUUGUGGUAUAACGGUAGAACACCUGACGCGUAUUCGAGAGGUUCAGGUUCGAAUCCUGGCGAGGACA